AGCGAACGCUGGCGGCAGGCCUAAAACAUGCAAGUCGAACGCCGUAGCAAUACGGAGUGGCAGACGGGUGAGUAACACGUGGGAACGUGCCCUUUGGUUCGGAACAACACAGGGAAACUUGUGCUAAUACCGGAUAAGCCCUUACGGGAAGAUUUAUCGCCAAAGGAUCGGCCCGCGUCUGAUUAGCUAGUUGGUGAGGUAACGGCUCACCAAGGCUACGAUCAGUAGCUGGUCUGAGAGGAUGAUCAGCCACACUGGGACUGAGACACGGCCCAGACUCCUACGGGAGGCAGCAGUUAGGAAUCUUGGACAAUGGGCGCAAGCCUGAUCCAGCCAUGCCGCGUGAGUGAUGAAGGCCUUAGGGUUGUAAAGCUCUUUUCAGCGGGGGAAGAUAAUGACGGUACCCGCAGAAGAAGCCCCGGCUAACUUCGUGCCAGCAGCCGCCGCGGUAAG
Molecule: ribosomal RNA, 453 nt
Filed under: uncultured bacterium
Lineage: Bacteria
Description: bacterial SSU rRNA
Rfam family: Bacterial small subunit ribosomal RNA
Source: RNAcentral